RNAcentral lists this RNase P RNA (338 nucleotides) under Burkholderiaceae bacterium. RNAcentral's name for it is "RNase P RNA component class A". It matches the Rfam family "Bacterial RNase P class A". Rfam says of the family: Ribonuclease P (RNase P) is a ubiquitous endoribonuclease, found in archaea, bacteria and eukarya as well as chloroplasts and mitochondria. Its best characterised activity is the generation of mature 5'-ends of tRNAs by cleaving the 5'-leader elements of precursor-tRNAs. The record is from RNAcentral. Lineage: Bacteria; Pseudomonadati; Pseudomonadota; Betaproteobacteria; Burkholderiales; Burkholderiaceae.
GAAGCCCGCCAGACCGCCGCUGGCGCAAGUCCCGCAAGGGCGCGCCGGAGGAAGGUCCGGACUGCACAGGGCAGCGCAGGAGCUAACGGCUCUCCGCCGCGAGGCGAGGAUCAGAGCAACAGAGACGAGUCUUGCCGGGCCUGCCCGGCAAGGGUGAAACGGGCAAUCUCUGCGCGCAGCAACACCAAGCAGGUUGGCAUUGACGCGGCCCGCCGAGCCAACGGGUAGGUGGCACCGAGCCGGGCGGGCAACCCCCGGCCCAGAGGGAUGGCGGUCACGGCGCGCGAACCGCAAGGGCCGCGCGCCGCACAGAAUCCGGCCUAUGGCGGACUUCACAC